GCAGGCCUAACACAUGCAAGUCGAGCGGUAGAGAGAAGCUUGCUUCUCUUGAGAGCGGCGGACGGGUGAGUAAUGCCUAGGAAUCUGCCUGGUAGUGGGGGAUAACGUUCGGAAACGGACGCUAAUACCGCAUACGUCCUACGGGAGAAAGCAGGGGACCUUCGGGCCUUGCGCUAUCAGAUGAGCCUAGGUCGGAUUAGCUAGUUGGUGAGGUAAUGGCUCACCAAGGCGACGAUCCGUAACUGGUCUGAGAGGAUGAUCAGUCACACUGGAACUGAGACACGGUCCAGACUCCUACGGGAGGCAGCAGUGGGGAAUAUUGGACAAUGGGCGAAAGCCUGAUCCAGCCAUGCCGCGUGUGUGAAGAAGGUCUUCGGAUUGUAAAGCACUUUAAGUUGGGAGGAAGGGUUGUAGAUUAAUACUCUGCAAUUUUGACGUUACCGACAGAAUAAGCACCGGCUAACUCUGUGCCAGCAGCCGCGGUAAUACAGAGGGUGCAAGCGUUAAUCGGAAUUACUGGGCGUAAAGCGCGCGUAGGUGGUUUGUUAAGUUGGAUGUGAAAUCCCCGGGCUCAACCUGGGAACUGCAUUCAAAACUGACUGACUAGAGUAUGGUAGAGGGUGGUGGAAUUUCCUGUGUAGCGGUGAAAUGCGUAGAUAUAGGAAGGAACACCAGUGGCGAAG
This 683-nucleotide ribosomal RNA is filed under the name Pseudomonas sp. Its description in RNAcentral is "bacterial SSU rRNA". It matches the Rfam family "Bacterial small subunit ribosomal RNA", at positions 42 to 720 of the family's 1533-position model. The record is from RNAcentral. Lineage: Bacteria; Pseudomonadati; Pseudomonadota; Gammaproteobacteria; Pseudomonadales; Pseudomonadaceae.